GCCAGGUGUGGUGGUGCACACCUGUAAUCCCAGCAGCUUGGGAGGCUGACACAGGAGGAUUGUGAGUUCAAAGGCAGCCUCAGCAAUUUAGUGAGGCCCUAAGCAACUCAGUGAGACCCUGUCUCUA
This 127-nucleotide small RNA is filed under the name Marmota monax (woodchuck). Lineage: Eukaryota; Metazoa; Chordata; Mammalia; Rodentia; Sciuridae. The record is from RNAcentral.